This 1581-nucleotide ribosomal RNA is filed under the name Triticum aestivum (bread wheat). Its description in RNAcentral is "partial small subunit ribosomal RNA". Lineage: Eukaryota; Viridiplantae; Streptophyta; Magnoliopsida; Poales; Poaceae. The record is from RNAcentral.
AUGAUUAGAGUACUGUCCGUCACUGCCGUUGGAUUGGCCUGUACAGCGUUGAGGCUGUACGAGGAAGAGCUCAAGUCCCUCUUCACCUCCAGGCCGGCCUUCCUCAAGACCUUGGACCCCGCCGGGGCUGAUCCGGUCAUCGGCCGCGACGACGAGAUCGACCGUGUCAUCUGCAUCCUCUGCGGCCGGACCAAGAACUGCGCCGCCCUGGUCGGUGCGGCCGGCGUCGGCAAGACGGCCAUCGUCGAGGGCCUAGCCCAGCGCAUCGCAGCUGGGGCGGUCCCCGACGCGCUCGUCGGUGCCCGCAUCGCGGAGCUUGACGUCGGGGCGAUGGUCGCUGGUACCCAGUGGCGCGGCAUGUUCGAGCAGCGCUUGAAGGAUGCGAUCAAUCAGGCGGAGGGUGCUGAUGGCAAACUCAUCCUCUUCAUAGACGAGAUGCACAUGAUUGUUGGUGCUGGUGACCGAGAUGGCCCCGGGGACGCCGCCAACAUCCUCAAGCCGGCGUUGGCCCGUGGCCGCAUCCGUUGCAUAGGCGCUACCACAUCCGAAGAGUACCGCAGAUACAUCCAGAAGGAUGCGGCCCUUGAGCGGCGGUUCCAAAAGGUUGAUGUCGAGGAGCCGAGCGUGCAGGCGACAGUUGCCAUCCUGCAGGGGCUGAAGCAGUGGUACCAAGACCAUCAUGGACUGACGAUUCGCGACGACGCUCUAGCUGCUGCCGCACAGCUCGCCGCCCGCUAUAUUACAGGUCGUCAGUUUCCUGAUAAAGCAAUUGAUUUGAUGGACGAGGCAUGCACUACCGUGAAGUUGCAUAAACCAAAAGAAGUUCAAAAUAAGGAAACUAACACAAGAAAUGCACCGGAGGAGAUAACCGUUGCUCCAUGUCAUAUUGCACAGGUUGUGAGCCGAUGGACUAAAAUUCCGAUCACCACACUUGGUCGAGAGGAAGAGAAGUUGAGCCACCUAGCAGACAGAUUGCAUGAGAGGGUUGUUGGACAGCAUGAAGCCGUUAAUUUGGUUGCCCAAGAAGUGCUACGUUCUGGGGUCGGCUUUGAUCAAUCUGGCCAACCAAUUGGCUCUUUCCUCUUUUUGGGCCCGGCUGGUGUUGGAAAGACAGAGCUUGCCAAAGCACUUGCCGAGAAGUUGUUCGACAAUGAGAAGGCAUUAGUCCGCUUUGACAUGUCUGAAUAUGCCGACAGUGGUUCUGUGUCACGUCUCUUUGGAGGACCUCGAAGGUUUAGCUUCUAUGAAGAAGACGGACAACUCACCGAGAAAGUCAGGAGCCAACCGUAUAGCGUUGUUCUUUUUGACGAGGCAGAUAAGUCACAUCCCUCAAUUUUCAAGGUUCUCAUUCAACUCCUUGAUGAUGGCAUGCUGGUUGAUGGGAAAGGACGCAACGUAAAUUUCAAGAACACUAUCAUCAUCAUGAGCUCAACUCUAGGAGCAGAGAACCUGUCAGCUAGAAUGGCUGGAGAAAACAUAGAAACUGCACGAGAUCUUCUCAUGAAACAGGUAUGUGUAUCCCAAACUGUCCCUUGUAAAGUCCCGGUGCGCACCCUGCUGAUUGACAAAUUUACUUGUUGA